Molecule: long non-coding RNA, 44240 nt
Filed under: Arabidopsis lyrata
Lineage: Eukaryota; Viridiplantae; Streptophyta; Magnoliopsida; Brassicales; Brassicaceae
Description: long non-coding RNA (ALYR_LNC001495)
Source: RNAcentral
AAUUAAACGUUUCUUAGUUAAAUGAAAGGGAUUUUUUCUCUCUUUCUUUCUCUCUCUCUCAAAUCGCGAAAACAGAGAAACGAGAGCCGAUUUUGGGAAACUUCAAUCGGAACAUUGGAGACUCCAGCAAUGUUUAUGACCUCCGGCCGUCCUACCGGAGCUAUCUCAGCAUCUCCACCGACGCGGGGUGUCCACGGCGACGAGGAGAAGCUCUAAUCGGCGAGUUUGGCAAAUCGAAAUCGAAGAGACUGUUCACAAAAUCUCCGAUUUGUUUGAGUGUGGGGAUUAUUGUUUCUAUUAAAUCCGAUUGUUGUCUCCGAUUGUUUUGUUGCAUCAGUGUUGAUUAUUGUUUCGAGUAAAACUUUGUGGGAUCUUAAUUUUAUUCUAUAAUUUGAUUAGUUUUUGUUGUUAUACCUCAUAUUAUUAGGUUUCGUUGAGAUUUAUUUGUUGAAAAUUGAUGUGUUAUUAAAGGUGAAAGAAAGCCUAGAGGGAUACAGAAAAAAUCUGCAGAGCACUAUUUAAGAAGUUGGUUUUGUGGGUUUCUUGUUAUUUUCGUGAGAUUUGAAAAAUCUUGGGUCGUGAAUUUUUUUUUCUUUGUGUAGAUGGUGAAGUUUUUACAAAACAUGUCUUGCUUAGCUUCAAAAGUUGUAUAUUUGCGUUAUUUGCAUCAAAUGUAAACUGUCAUUUUGUGUUAAGAUAUGCAUGUUCCCUAGCGUAACACUUUUUUUUUUUCCAAAUUUUUAUUAUAUCCAAUUUGAAUAUGCGUGAUUGCAUUGCUGCAAGCUAGCAGUAAUACUAAAACCGUACGUUGAUAUCAACCUUUUUAAACCAUUGGCUUAUGAGUUCCAAUUUGCAAUUUUCGGUAUAUUUCGUAUAACAUUUGGAAUAAUAUAUACAUAGGAGUUUAGGGUUUAGGUAAAAUUGUUGGAAUUGAUCACUAAAUCAAACUAUUACACGUGACACCAAAAGAAACUUGUCUGCUAUAUUAUUUUGUGAAUUUACUUCUAACUUCUUCGUAUAUCUUUUUAAAAUUCUAAUUACAAUGCCAUUGGUGGAUAUAAGAAGCUAUUGGAAUCUGAGUAUGUGUGCAUGAGUGCAUCAACUUAUCUUAUUAGUGGAAAAUGACUCAUAGAGCGAAUUAAGGCUGCGAAGCCGAUGACGAGACCUACUUAGAUAGACACAUUACUGAACUUUAUAUGUUAGGUAAUGAUUUUAAUACCUUUCAAAAAGUAAAUCAAAUUGUGGUUCUAAUCACAUUAGAGAUGAGACCUAAUCGAGGCAAUGAUAUUUUUUAGCUAUUAAAACAUAUAAAAGAGAUUUUCAAUUUAAAUUACCAAAAGAAAAAUUUACAGUUGGUAAACUUUCGCUUAAUGUGCUUAAAUAUUAAAAUCAACUUAAUGUAAAACUUUUUUUUAGUAAUUAAGCACAUUAAAAUCAACUUAAUUUAUUUUCUUUUUUUGGUAAUUUAAGCACAUUGUAAUUUACAGUUGGUAAACUUUCAAAUAAACAUAUACAUAUUUUUAAUUAAGUAAAAUGUAAUAAUCAUUGAAAUCAACUUAAUGUAACAUAAUGACAAACUAAUCCAACUGGUUAAUUAAUUCGGUCUGGACCUCUCUCUCUUUUAUUUCCGAUUAUAAACCAAUCCAACUGGUAAAUUACAUUGAGUAAUUAUCUUUAAUUCUUUGGAGUCCCCAUUGAGUGAAUUAAACUAUCACACUAGCUCCGAAUAAGUUGGAAAUACAUAAGAACAUAAGUCUUACAAUAUAGAGCUGACCAAUGACAGUACUAUCACGAUUAUGAUAGCCAAUAUAUAUAUAUAUAUCUACCUCUAUAUAUAUAAAUAAUAUGUCAAACGGGCAAAUUAGUAUCCUUAUGAUUUGUUAUUAUAUGGUCUUCGUUUUCAUUAUUCUGACAAAACUGGGAACUGUUCAGAGUCGUCGAAACAGACUGAUCUGUCUCAAUCUUCCUUCCCCAGAGAAACACGUAAAGGCCUGUUAUAGUCACUAGCGAUCCAAGUAUGCUGCAUUUUUAAAAAUAUAAACGUAUCAGUGCAUGCUUGGAUCGACUUUAUAGUCUAUACUAUACACUAUAUGAGAUGAUUUGAGAAUGAAACCUGCCGAGGUAUAAAGGAGAGUGUAAGAUGAGGAAGUCGAAUAAGGUAGCCGCGACGAGACUGACGGGGCUGAAUGUUGAGACGAAAACUGCUCCUGUCAUUUUUAUGGACCAUGACGUUACCACUGUCGACAUCGCUUGUCCCACUAUUCCCUAUUUUAUUUUUCAUCAAUUUAAUCAAACCUUUUUAUAAUUAAUAGUGUUAUAAAUAAUCAUAUAAACUGUUGAAAAUAUCUUAUAAAUUACUAUAACAGCGUUUGAAAAAUGAAUAUGAAAAGGAUGUAUCAAAAAAGGAUUACAUGUGAAAUUAAGCACAUUCCAUCUAUUUUUAUAGCAAGUAUAUAUGUAAUAAAAUAAAUUAAGCACAUGGAGUGAAAAAAAUGACGAAAAGAUAUACCGAUUUAUCUCAAUAACCUAAUCUGUUAACUAGAAAAAAAUAGAAUUAUACUUUGAAAUGAUAUAUAUGACUGGUUUGAAAACAAAAAUCAACGAAAAAACUAAAAAGGAGAUUUAUAAGAAAGAAGAGAUUAUAAAUUACGAGGAGCUUUUAGAAAAGGGUCACAAUAGAUAAGAUGACUAGGCUUAAAGAUGACAUUUAGAUAUCAAAGAAGCAAACUUCUAACUCUUCUUUUUUAGUGCCCAUGCAUUUUAUGAGUAUAUAUUAUAUCUAAUGAAAAGAAGACGGGAAAAACUUACAGCGUAAAGGGUGAUGAAAAUGACGAAUUUAUCUUCUAUAAUCCAAUCUUUGACGUCUCUACUCUUGUAAAGACUCAAAAUAGCACAUUGAAAUGAAGCAAAGACUGACAUGAGACAAGUGCUUGAGUAUUUAUUUCCAGGAUACUUAAAGCUUAAUUUCCCUUGAAACAACAUCCAUAGAGACAACAACACUGUCCCAAUGAUCAAAUAAAGACAGCCUAGAAGCCAUUUCUUUGUUUGGUCGUGACCGUUGUUAUGUAACGUGUUGUUGUUGUGAAGAGCUCGUGGAUGAGAAUGCGGGUUUGAUAACUCUGGGCCUUUGUAAAAUGUCAAUAACAUAGCUCCCAUUAUGCAAAUUAGGGUUCCCAUUACUUUGAGAACACCUGCUUUGCUCUUCAGGUUUUGCGCAUUCUCUAUCCUGUUAAAUUUUUUUUAUGAAAGUUAUUUUUUGUUUGUUUUAAUUACUAAUUAAAUUAGUUGCACUACCUGAAAAUAAGGGCUAACGCAAAGGUGAUAGCAGGUAACAUGCUAACUAGAGCCAUCGAAACAGUUGCUGACGUGUACGAUAGUCCAAGUAAAAAGAAAAAUUGCAUCAAACUUGCCCUGCGUGCGGUAUUAAUAAAAACCAUACAUAAAUAAACGAAAAAAAAAAGUAAAGCUUGUAAUUAAUAAGAGAUAACGUGUUGGACAGCUCUAUUAUUUGUUUUUUCUUCUUUUUAAAAGUAAAUUAAAUCAUUAAAAAAAGAGAGGAAAUUGCGUAAUGGAGUAUAUAACCAGAACAAGUGAAAAGGACAAACCCAAGUAAUCCGCUGAUGAAAUGUUCGCACAAAAGCAUGAGCGUUAGCUGUGGCCUUGUUUUCCUAUAACAAACUCAUUUAAAGAGCAAAUUAACUUCAUUACUUUCUUUUUUUUGGUAUCAUAAACUUCAUUACUUACAACAAGAUAAUAAAAACUUAUAACUUUUAUAUACAUACAUACAUACAUGAGAGGAUAUCCAAUAAUAUUAAAACUUAGUUUCAUCAUGUCUCAAUAACAAAAAAAUAGAAAAGUUGAUAUAUAUCAACAUUACAUAACGUUUGGAUUUUAACAGAUCAAAUGGCACAUGAAAAGAAUAGAUGUUGAUGUUGUAUUACUGUAAUUCGAAAAGUUUAAACAAUCAUGGACAGUUUAAAUAUUGACGCAUAAAAAUCAAAUCAUAUAUGGAGAAAAAAUCAAGAGUAGUCUGAACUUUAACAUAUAAUGAUCAAAUCAUAUAUGAAUGAAAACAGCUAUUUUAUUAUUGUAAUGGUAACAAUUUAUACGUAGUUGAAAUUUUGAAUCAUACAUAUUUCUUAUAAAAAUACGAGAACAUAGCCAGAGAACGUUUUUUUUGGACAUAAGCCAUACUAGAAAAAAAGUAUGUAAUUAAAGAUGGUUUCAAAAUCUGAGUUUUGACGCAUAAGAAUCAAAAUGUUCAUACCUCUCCCAAAUAAAAGAAAACGGAACCAAGAUUAGAGCAGAAAUAGCCAUUCUAUAAGCACCAAAGAUCAUAUGGUUAACACCAACAUCAAGUGCUUUCUUAACGAGAGCGUUCACUGAUCCCAUUGCAACACUUGAUAUUAACAUUACUAUUACUGGUGCCCAUUGUUCUUCCUUCACCAUCCCUCUCAAUCUCUCUCCCUCUCUCUCUCUCUGAAUAUUUUAUUUUAUUAAUUAAGAUUUUUUUAUAGUUUUUGUUUUCUGUAAUGUCGAAUGUUUUUCUUUGCGUUUGGCAACCACACGCCUUCCCAUCUACUUAUAUUUAUAAUAAAGUUUGUGGGUGGUUGCCACAUAGGAUAUAUUUUUUUGUUAGCCUCAGUGUAUUAGUGUUCUAGAAUACGCUAUACGCUAUGCGUAUGCUAGAACACCGUAUGCGGAGACUAUACGGUGAAUAUAUUUUUAAGAUAAAUAUAUAUAUAUAUAUAUAUAUAUAUAUAUUAUAAUUUAUCAAAAUAUUCAAAUAUAGUUACAUAAUUAUAAUAAUAAUAAAACAUAAAUAUAGUAACAUGAUGAAUACUAUACAUGAAUAAAAAAAAUAAAAAAAAUUUAACUUUACAAAAUAUUUUUAAAAUUUUAAAUAACUAGUAAGCAUAAAAAUAAUAGAAAAGAAUUACAAUAAAGUUAUUUUAUAGUUAAUUAUUAUGAUUAAUUUUUUGAGAGCCAAAUUAAUAAUUUUGUUAAAUCAUUUUUCAAACAUUAAUAAAAUGCCAUAGUUUUUAUUUUUGAGCAUUUUUUUUUAAAAAGCGCCGUAUAUGCGGAAUUCACCGUAUAUACGCCGUAUAUACGGACUUAUAGCUUUCACCAUAUUAAACAACUGUAUAGUCAUAAUACAGUACACCUUCCCAAUGUACAGCGUAUAUACGCCGUAUAUACGGCCGUAAAGACCUUAUUUUAGAACAUCAACUUAUGUAGCUUGUUUCUAGUGAUUGUUAAAAUGAUAUUUUAGUUUACUGGUGGUAGAUCAUUUUUUUUUGUCAACCUUACAUUAAUUAAUAAAAAUCUCCUUGAUUAGUUGCCCAAUUAGGAGGAUAAGUGUCUACAAAAGAAACUUCAGAAAAUAAAAGUGUAGAAGAACGGGCUAAGCAGUCCGCUUUAACAUUACAUAAACGUAGAAUAAGAGAGAGCGAGAAGAAGGGGAAAGAGACACGGAAAAAACCAAAUUUGUCUAGCAGAUUGGAGAAAGCGGGCCAUUCAUCAGGGGACUGUAUCAUCGAGACUAACUCUGAACAAUCUGUUUCAAACGCCUGGCAAUCUAUUCUUCUUGAAAAGAUAUUCUUCAUAGCCCAAAUUAACGCUUGCAUCUCCGAAUGAAGGGGGAAGGACACCUCCGUAGGCACUUUGCACCGAACAGAAUCGAUUGAUCAUUUCCUUGCAAACAACACUAUCCUAAACUCAUAGUUGGAUCCGAAAUUUUCCAAGAGUCAUCAAACCGACAUCUUAUCGAUUGAACUGGGCAUUCCAAAGUUUCCGUAAUAGGAUUAGUUUCGAUCGGAUCCACCUGAGCUUCGUCCCACAUUAAUUUUUCACUCAAAGCAAGAUUUAAAAUAUAUGUGGGUUCAGAUUGUAAUCCUUUAAAUAUCUUUUUAUUCCUAUCUUUCCAUAUGAACCACAUAAUCCAAGCAUAACUAUAUGUUUUCUCUCCCCUUUUUAGAUUAGAUGGAAGUCUCCAAUAAAGAUAAUCUAGAUUUGAGAAUUCCGAAGUUAGAGGAAAUCUACCUGAUACCAUAGGUAUAUCGGAUAAGUCCCAUACUUUCUGAGAAUGAGAGCACUCAAAUAAAGCAUGAUUUAUUGUUUCCUCUGCCGUCUCACACCGUUUACAGAGAAUAUCACAUCGAAUCCCUCGAUGUACUAAUUUUGAAUUAACUGCUAAGGAUCCCGAAGCAAUUUGCCAUAAGAAAUAUUGUAUUUUUGGAGGGGCUUUGACUUUCCAAGCCUGUGCUUGUAGAGCCUUAUAAUUUGGGCCCCAUUCGAUCGUUUCUAUCACCUCUUUAGCAACCCGAUAGCCUGAUUUUACUGUAUAUCUUCCUGAUUUUGUAUGAUGCAAGAUAAGCCUAUCUUGCUUAGAAACUCGGCUAAUAGUCAGUCUCCUAAUAAGCUGAAUAUCCACUGGAUUCAUAUAUUCUUGUAAAAUGGGAAAGUGCCAUUUUUUAGUAACUGGAUUAAUUUAAUGGUUAACCAUCAAACUUGGAAGUAAAAAAAUUCCUCUUUCAUUUGCAGGCCUUGGGUUAACAUCAGGAAUCCAAGGAUCUCGCCAUACCGAUAUAUUGAAACCCGAGCCUAAUGAUCAUCUAGCUCCCACUUCAACUAAUCCUUUAGUUGAAAAAAUACUCUUCCAUCCAAAUGAUGGAGAAUUUGAUUUUUUUGCCUGUAAAUGAUGAAUAUUCCUGAAGUAUCUACCUUUUAGCACUCGAGCUAGUAAAGAAUUCGAAUAUUGAAUUAAGCGCCAGUACUGUUUAGCCAACAUGGCAUCAUUAAAAAUGUCUAGGGAAUGAAAACCUAAGCCUCCAUCUUCUUUAUCCUUACACAUUUUCUCCCAUGCUAUCCAAUGAAUCCCACGAUCUCGCCCAUUGGAACUCCACCAGUAAUUAGAAAUAGCAUUUGUUAACUUAGAAGUUAACUCUUGAGGGAGUUUAAAACAAGACAUAACAUAGGUUAGGAGUGCCAAAGACACUGAUUUGAUCAUUGUCUCUUUCCCACCUUUCGACAAAAAUUUUGCUGACCAGCCAUUAAUCCGUUUAUUAAGUCUUUUCCAGACAUAAUUAAAGAUUUUACUUUUUUAGCCUCCUAAGCUCUCUGGUAUACCCAAACAUGUACCCAUGCAACAUUCCUUAGUUAUCCAAGGAUGUUUUAAAGUUGAUCUCUUUUUUGGUUUGCUACGCGCCUACCAAACAUAACCGAUGAUUUACUGAGAUUUAUCUCUUGUCCUGAAGCUUUACCAUAAUUCCCAAUAAUAUCCAUCACCGUUUUGCAUUGCUCUGAAUCCGCUUUACAGAAAAAGAGACUAUCAUCGGCAAAGAGUAGAUGUGAAAUUGAUGGGCUUCUUUUCGCUAUCUUAAUUCCGGUCAGCUUUUUUUCUUUUCCCGCCUUGUUAAUAUUUGCAAUCAUUACCUUCGUACAUAAAAUAAACAAACAAGGCGAUAAAGGAUCACCUUGCCGUAAACCUCUACUAGGAAUGAUAUUGCCUCUAGGUUCCCCAUUCAAUAAAACAUGGUACGAGACCGAGCUAACACUCCACAUGAUCCAAGGAACCCAAUUAGAGUUGAAUCCCAACCGAGUCAAUACCGCCUCUAAAAAGUCCCAUUCUAUCCUAUUAUAUGCUUUGCUCAUAUCUGUUUUAAUUGCCAAAAAAUCUGUUCUACACAUUCUAUUAGUCCGUAAACCAUGAAACAUUUACUGAGCUAGUAAGAUGUUGUCUGUUAUAAAUCUCCCUGAAAUGAAAGCAGAUUGUGUUUCAGAGACUAGCCGAGGUAAAAUGUAUUUAAGCCUGAAGCAAAGAAUUUUUGAACUUAUCUUGUAGCUCACAUUGCAGAGACUUAUUGGCCUAAACUCUGCCAUCCUCUGUGGCCUUUCCGUCUUUGGAAUUAGACAAAUAUUUGUUUCAUUUAUUCUCUUAUCGAAACUUCCUGUCCGGAAAAAAAUCUCUGACCAAACCUACCAAAUCUUCCUUUAAGGAAUGCCAAAACCUUUGAUAAAAUAAUGUUCUCAUACCAUCUGGGCCGGCCUGGAGUCUUUUCUGGAUGCAUAGAAAAUAAAGCUUUCCUAACUUCUGUUUCGGAUACCUGCUUGGUUAGUUCCUUGUUCAUAUUUUCCGUAAUAAUUGGAGGCAUUUCAUUUACCAUCUCAGCAAUUCCAUUCGUAUUAGAGACCUUAAAAAUUUCUUUAAAAUAAUUGGUUGCUAUCUCCUCCAUCCCUCUUUCUGAUUCCUCCCAAACGUCAUUAGGUCCAUAUAGACCUGAAAUCUUAUUUCUUGCCCUUCUUUUUUUUGUAGAUGCAUGAAAAUAUUUGGUAUUUUUAUCCCCAACUUUUAACCAAAAAUUUCUGCUCUUCUGUUUCCAAUAAAUUUCCUCCUCAUGAUAAGCUUCCUUUAAUUUAUUUUUGAUUCUUUUUAUUUCCUCUUGCGGAAUCAAGUCAUCAUUCUUUGCUUCUUCUAAAGCCAUCUUAAGCGAAGAAAUAUUGGCCUGACCGGUGGGAAUAUUAUUUUUCCUCCACAAUGAUAUGGAAUUCCUACAAUUCUUUAUUUUAUCCACAAAAACAGGAAUUCUAAAAUUUCUUGUUCGAUUCCAACAUGAAUUUAUGGCCUCAUUAAGACCAUCAUUUCCAACCCAUCUUUUAUCAAAUCUAAAUUGUCGUUUUUUCCUACCCAAAUUUUUCCCACAACUCAAUAAAAUUGGUCGAUGAUCAGAUCCAAUCAUAUCCAAAUAAUCCACUUUUGAAUAAGGAAAUAAGUUAUGCAAUCCUCAUUUCCCAAUGCCCGAUCUAGUCUCCACCUGACUAUCUGUUGGUUCCUAUUACCUCUCCAUGAAAGUUGUUCACCAUAGCAUAGAAAUUCUAGCAUACCGUUAUUUCAAAUCAUAAGACUGAAAGGAACAAAAGAAGCUGAACAAAGGAAGCUGCUGAUCUUAAAUUACCACCUGUUUUCUCAUGAUUUCUGGUCAACUCAUUGAAAUCACCACCUACCAUUAGCCAUGGUUUUUUCCUGUUAGAACCCAACUCUGUUAUUUUAUCCCAUACAAUUUCGCGUUUUGUGGCAACAGGAUCCCCAUAAACGAAUGACAUAAACACUAAUUGUUUCCCAAAAAAUGUUUUAACAUCAAUAAUUCGAUUGCAUGCAUAAAGAAUCUCCAAUUUUAUUUCAUUAUUAUCAAAUAAGGCUAAUCCUCCACUAGCACCGCGCGCGAGGAUCAACUGAUUACAAAUUAUUAAAACCAAAAGAAGUUUGAAAUUUCUGUAAAUAAGGAAGACAUUUUUUGUUUCCGAUAAAAAUGAAAUAUCCGGCUUGUGCUCCCUCCAUAAAUCCUUUAAAAAAUUCUCUGUCAGUUCAGCCCCUAUUCCCUGACAGUUCCAGCUCAGGAUCUUCACGUAGAUCAUUUUCAAAGGAACCUUUAAAUUAAAUUCGGAUUCAAACUCAGUAGUUUAAAUAAUAAACCAAAAAAGUGAGUAAGUUAAACUUUCCAUCAGAAUAAUCACAAAGUUAAUUUGAAAAAUAAUCAAUAUAUAUAUAUAUAUGUAUAUAUAGUCAUGUGAUAAAAUAUUGUUAAACUUUAUCUAUCAAAUUGUUCUAUAUAAUAUUUAAAUAUUUUAUUAAUGUAUGUAAUUAUUUAUUUAGAUAUCCAUUAAAUUUAAUAUGACUUAAGUGUAUUAAUCUAAUACAAUAUGACUUAGUUAUAAAAGUCAUAACAAUUAUAUUUAUGUAUUUGAACCGUAAAUAAUGUAUUAAUUUUAUUUUCUGUACAAAUAUUUCUACAUACGCCCAUUAUGUAUCGUCUUAAUCUAAAUUCCAUAGGGGUGAAUAAACAAUUAUUAAUUGUCAAAAAACAAAUUUCUCUUAUGAACAAAGAAGUUUUAGGGAAUUGCUCUCUCUGUUAUUGAUCAAUUGUACAAGAUACAACAUAUAUAUAGAGAUACAACAUUAGGGUUUAGGUUAAAAAUUAGGUAUUCUAGAACUACUAAUAGGCCAUAUAAUGAACAUCCAUAUAUUACAUAUAAUUAUUCAUAACAAUUUCAGCAUUUUACGUAAUUGUUUUUUGUCGAAGGGCUUUCAGCAUUUUACGUAAUGCGAGACACACACAUUCAUUUGCUUCUCAAAUAAUAUUUUCGUGUCAUCUACUUUAUAUUUUUACUUACCUUAAUCCCGUAGUAUUUUUAAAAUUGUUUUUCAUUAGUCAAUCAUCAUAUAAUUUUAGACAGUCUAACAAAAUAAAUAAUUCCUUCAAUCCUCCGGAAGUUAGCAGUACAUGCAACCAUCUUCCACAUAUGGAAACAGCGCAAGAACGUCCUCCACAAUUUGACAUCGAUACCUCCUGCCACAUUUUCAAAUGCAUCGAUCGAGAAACCAAAAACAUCAUCACCUCUAGAAGAAUCAGACGCAAUUUUCAAAAGUUAAUGGCGUAUAGGCUUGCGAUAAAAUCUACCUAAAUUUUUUCAAGGAUCUUUUGAUUUCCUUGUUUUUAUAUUUUUUGCCAAAGAACUAUAUAUGUAAAACCUGACUGUUCAUAUUAAUGAUAUUUACAUGCAUUAGCAAAAAAAAAAAUAAUAAUAAUAAUAUAAUUGGACAGUAAACAAAAAUGUCUCCUUACUCCUUUUUUUUGUGCACCAACAUUUAUAAAUUACUAGUCAUCCUCAGAGAGGGAAAUGUUACAAAAGAAGGGGUCAGAGCCUUCAAAGCCAUCAAACUCGCUGCUACAAGAGCAAAGCGAAACACAAGGGUAGUAGAUAGGAGGAUAGAUCAAAGCAAUCCUAGCACUUAAACAAAAAACAUUAUCGCGGAGUCCUUGAACCUUGAUAAUCCUAGUGCUAAUAAGUGAGAAGACGCCUUGGACAACACAACACACAGAUAGUGAUAUGCUGCUCGUGAUUGAAUCUGCCACUAGGCAAGCAAGACAAUCCCAAAGUUGGCAAGCAAAACAGGGGUGACAAAGCACCAAUUUGCAGAGUCGUUGAAACCAACAGAGAGCGAGGUCUCUGAAGAGCAUCCUUCCAGAACAAAAGCUGGUCGCGCAACACAAGGGCAACAAUAAAGGAGCCAUGGAAGCAAGGAUGAAGGUGUGAUGAAACUCUCCUUAUAAUAGGAAAAAGGAGCAAGAGACCUCUCCUGACCAUGGCAGGAGGAAGAUUGGCUCUGUGGAGGCAGAGCGUCUUGAUGCUUCAAAUAGGAACGGAGGAUAGAAGUAUAUCCAAUCCCAUAUGAACGAAGGAUAGAAGUAUAUCGAGACCAAGAAAAAUAUCCAAAAUAAUAGGACCAAAAACUUGAGCCCAUGGAGGAACUAAAAAAGGCCCAUACUGAAGUAAGUAUGGACCAAGCCCAACAAGGAUACAAUCUCAGCACACGUACCGAGAAAAGACCUAGGGCAUCCACCGGAGCUUGGCGGCGGCUAGCUGAAACGAGGGUUGUAGUUGGAGCGGAUGACGACAUCGAACUUAGAUGAGCCUUGGGAAGUGAAGAUGCGGCGGAGACUGGACCAACGGCGAAGGCUUGGGUUAGAUUUAGAUUGCUGUAGCAGGGAAACGCGGCGGAGACACCAAGGCGGACAAGGCAAGUAGAGGACCAUUGUUGAAUCAUUGAGGACAUAUCUGCCUUCGAGAAGAGCAGAGAGACGCCGGCGGUGAAACUUCUACACCGCAAGAUCUGGGCGAGAGAUAAGAGACACUCCGUACCAAUCAAAGGUAGAGAGGCACAUGAAACGUUGCUGUCAGAUCUCGCACGACGGAGCCACCCGAGCGCAAAGAUGUUGGCAUCAGGAGCGGUCCUCAAAAGCCUCAUGAAAUGGCCGGGAACAAAAGCGAAAAACUGAAACGAGAGCAAAGGUAACACAAGAAAGCCAAGAUGAAUGGUAAGAGGAACGACGGUCCGACGCCGGUGAGAAACGGCUCUCCCGGCGUCGGAAAACAUGGGCGAAAGUGGUUCCUCGAUAAUCACGCCAGAGAGAGUUUUUUGUGUUAAAGAUAACUUAAUAAACGAUUUUUUAUGUUACAAAUCCUUUACGUCUCCUCACUCCUAUCAUAUGAUAAUAGAUCAAAAAUCUGAUAUUUUGAAGAAACCCUCCUUUUUCUGAUUAAUUAAUUAUUUUUCUAACAAAAAAAAGAAACUAUUAACUAUUAAUUUUUUAGAAGAUAAAAAGUUUCUGUUAUUUAUCAUUAUAAUUCCAUGUCCCAUUCGCGACGUAGGUUAUUAAAUAAGAAUUUAGUCCAAAAUAUCUUAACAUAUCAUGUUAUACAUUGCUUGUCAAGCUUCAUUUUGAAUUUUUGGUUUUAGUCGAGCUCUAUUUUACAUGGAAAGAGAUAUUAAAAGUGUGAUCAAAAGAUAUCUAUAAAGGUUGAAAAUUCUACUACGACAAGUUUAGUAUUUUUUUUUCUUUUUCAUUUUCAUGUUUUUUUUAAUUAGUUAAUUGAUACUGAUGUGUCUACAACUAAACCAAACUAUACAUUAGUUACACAAAUAUAAUACGUACGAACCUACAAAUCAUUUAUCAUUUAUUGCUAAAGACAUGCAUAUAUAUAUAUAUAUAUAUAUAUAUAUAUAUAUAUACAAAGCACAACAACUCUACAUUGAUAUUAGCGGGGGAAAAACAACAACUAACUCUUCAUAGACCUAUUAGAUAUAUGCUCGUGAUAUUUGAGUUCUUACAAAUGACAUUCUACUAGAUAUAAGAGACAAAUUUUGUCCUGGAUCUGGAUAGACAAAAUGCAGUUUGCAACACGCAAACUACAUCGGAAGAUCUAAUAGACUUUUAUCAAAAAAAAAAAAAAAAAGAUCUAAUUGACCAAUUAGAAAAUGUGAAAAAGGGAACUAUUAAUCGCAAAAAUUGAUAUAUUUUAAACUGGGUCUGUAUAGAAAUUGUUUGACACUUAUUUACUUUUUACUCUAAACCGGUUUCAUUUAUUAUGAGAAAAAAGAUUUAUAUGAACACUACACUAAAACAAAAUUACCUCAUUAAUAUAAUGCUCUCAUACCACCAUAUUUAGGUUUAACUUUAACCCUAGUAACUUUCUUGUAAUAGAAAAAAAAAUCUUGUAAUAAAAAUUAGAGUAAAAUAUAAUAGUGUAAUGAGAGUGACGAAUCUCCACAAUAUAGUUCAAUGAGUCAGUGACCAACAAAAUAAAAGUAAUACUAGUAAGGAAAAAUGGAAGAUUUAUUAUAAGACAAAUAGACUAGCUAGUGGGUUUGACAUGUAUAUAGCUCAAGUACAAUGGCUGCACUAGAUCAUCACGAAUCUAAACGGUCGGCCAUGCCGUGGAAUCUAACAAAACCGGUCAUAAUCUAUAUAACACAUUACAUUAUAAUCUAUUGCUACAACGAUUCUUAAUUGUUUGAUGUAUAUUCAAUCAACAAUUAAAUGCUAUUAUAUAUAUAUAUAUAUAUAUAUAUAUCUAAAACAAAUAAAACACACAUUUCGCAAAAUAUUAUCGCAAAAUCAUACUUUUAAAUAUUUUUGCACAUUUUGGUUUAAAAAAAUUAUAUAUCUAGUUCAAUGAUGCUUGAGGUUGAGGUCAUGAGCAAAUGCAAAAGACAUAUGAAAUGCUCACAUAAUUCAUGAUGGUUUGUGUCACUAAUUUGAUUAUUAUUGAACCAAACAUGCAUGUUGUUCUUGAUUGUCCUUCCUCAUGGUCACCAUAAUCAUCGUCUGCAUUUCUUUUCCCGGUCGUGGAAAAUUUUCUGUUUUUGUAACUGUGGGACGUUUGUAACUUCUGGGCCUAAACUCAUUUGGGUGUGGGUCUCUUUUAAUAAACAAGUUUAAAAAAAAAAUAAAAAAAAAUCAAUCGUCUUGCAAAUCAAGGUUGCUUUUAUGCCUAAAUCACACCUCCAACUCCAAGGGAUGAAAAUGCCAAGGUGUUUGACUUAUCCCAAACUCUGUUUUUUUUUUUUUUUUUCUUUUUUUUGGGUCAAACCAUUGCAUUCAAAUUAAUCCUUAAAACAUGAGAAUCCAUACAACUUGAAACCGAAAAAACUAUAAGAAAUGUAAAGAUAAAGACUUGAAUUUUUUUCCAAAGAAAUGCUUAACUGCAAAAAGCUUGCAUUAAAUUUAACGGAAAUAUCUCUAGACGUCUGGAGUCUGGACGGAUUUAUAAUUGAAGACAAACUUAAAAAAAUUCUAGACCAACUUGUGGUCAAAAACGGUAAAGCCCAAUACUGGUCCAAUCCCUGAAACCUAGUAACAUUAUCGACAGCUUGAUCCCAAACUCCAUACAAGUUUACAUAUUAACCCAAGAAAUAAAGGUUUGGCCCACUUUAUUGUACUGUUAAUUUUUUUUUUUUUUGUUGUUGUUUGUCAAGUAAUGAUUAGACGAUUAACCACAUUUUCGAUUCCUAACACAACCAUUACGGCAUUACCCUAAGUAUCUUGAAAUUCAAUUUAAAUAUAUUUCUCCUAAUUACUUUUCGUGUGUCCUUUUCUUGUGGUGUAUACGUAUGUGGUUAAUGGGGCUUUCGAGAAAAGAAAAAAAAAAGGUGUGAAUACAAAACAUUGGAAACUAAGUAUAUGCACAAAACAUUGGUAAUCGGUGAUUUGAUGUGUUCCUUCUUCCUAAAAAAAACCUUAAGAAUUUCACUUUUAAAACGAAAUCAGAUUUUGCUCUUUUCGCUUGAAAGUACUUGUAGACAAAGAUAUAAUCUGAAUUAUCAUAACGUUUGUUUGAUAUCAUUACGCUUUUUUUUUUUUUUGUAAAAAAAAUAUAACUUACCAAUAAUCAACUUUUUUGGUUCUGGUUCUGUAUGAUUCGUCAAUAAUUGAAACAACAAUACCCAGUAACAAAUAUAAACCAUAGAAAAAGAAUAUGAUAUGAAGUUCCAUAGAGAAAGAACUAGUAUCAAAUUCCGAUAUAAAUUAUACCAUUUGUCUCCAGCUUCCUAGGCCGGCAAAGUAUGAACCCUUCCACUUUCCAAUUUGUUCGGUCAGAAAUAGAUUUAUAUUCCACAUUUUCUCGCAGCUUAUAUAUAGACACACACACUUAAUGUAUGUGGAAUUUGAAAUUUAUAUUGAUAUAGUAAAAUGGGAUGUGUAUGCAGCAAGAACUUAGAAGGAAGAAGGCAUGAAGACAUUACCCUUCUUGCUUCUCAAACCUUUUGUAAGUCAUGUCUACUUCAAAAAAUCCACCACUUCCGCCUAUAUAUACACAAUAAUACUGACACAUGUGUAUUUACUUGCAUGGAAAAAUAAUACUUUUACUCGAGUUUGUAGAAAAUAACAUCAUCUUAAUUGUUUUGGGUUUGCAGUUAGCGAGGCUGAGGUUGAAGUUCUGCAUGAAUUAUUCAUCCAACUCACUUCUUGUCUCAGCAACGACAAUCUUUUGACCAAAGUUAGACACCAAACUAAAUUAUUUUUCCACAAUGUGAAUAUUAAUUAUUAUAAAUAUAAGUGUUUAUACUACUUGUCGAAAAGUUGUGUUAGUGUUAUAUCGAAUGUGGUUGGCUUUUUCAGGAACAUUUUCAAUUCAUCUUAAUCAAGAAUACCAAUAGGCGCAGUAUUUCUGCUGACCGGGUAAGUUUCUAAUGAAUUUCUAAUAUAUUAAGCGGAAAAACAUAUAAACUUCGAUUGAUGUUGUUCAUACGUAAAACUUCUUAAUUCUCAUAUCUGAAAUGUGCAGAUUUUCGGAUUAUUCGAUAUGAGAAACGAUGGGGCAAUAGAUUUUGGAGAGUUUGUACAUACUCUCAACAUUUUUCACCCAAACUCAUCCCAAAGAGAUAAGGCCAUAUGUAUAUACUUCAUCACUUAUAAUGUGUUUAUUCAUUUGUUCCAUGUUAUUAUUAUUUUCUAUAUGAAGAUCAAUGUUAUUAAUUAUAACCACAAAUAAUAUAUCUGAUCACUUGUUUAUAACUAAACAGUUGCAUUUAGAUUAUACGAUACUCGUCAGACUGGAUUCAUUGAACCGGAGGAGGUACGUUUCGUAAUAUUAUAUUCGUCGUUUCUAAAAAAAGGAAAAAGUAUUUAAGCGAUGAUUAAUUAUAUUUUACGGUUUUCCUCGACUUGGAGAAAAUUAUAGGUUAAAGAGAUGAUAAUAGACGUUCUAGAGGAAUCAGAACUUAUGCUAUCCGAGAGUAUCAUCGAUUCUAUCGUGUCUAAAGUAUGUAAUGCUUAAUUUUUGGUGCCCCUUUAACAUUUUUAGUUAUUUUACUUACUGUUUUUGUUUACAUUUAUUUUGGCAAGACAUUUGAAGAGGCGGAUUGGAAAAAGGAUGGGAAAAUAGAUUUAGAAGAAUGGGAGGAUUUUGUUGCCAACUAUCCUUUGACACUAAAGAACAUGACUAUCCCUUUCUUGAAGUAAUUCGUUUGUUUGUUUUUUCCUAUAUAUAUAUAUAUACAGCAAAUAUAUAGUUUAGGGAAAGAUGAACCAUUUCCUUAAUAUUCGCUGAUAAAUUGCAUUUUUUAGAAUACAUCUUUCAAGAACCAGCUUCUAUAUAUAUAUGUAAUAUGUGUGUGUUUAUGCAUAGAUUAUCUAUAUGUAGACUUUGUUUGUUUUUUUGUGUAGAGUUUGUUUGUUUGUUUUUUUUUGUGUAUAUCAGAUCAUUAUCUUUGAAAACUAAGACAUUUAAUUUACUCCAAAGUCUUUUUUGUUUUCAGGGACAUACCAAGGAUUUUUCCAACAUUCUUCCGGUAAAAAUCAAAUAAGAUGUUUUUGCUUUGUCUCGCUACAAGUUUUUUUAUUUGAAAAAUACUCCCUCCGUUUCAAAAUAUAAGGCGUUUUGGAGAAACUUUUUUGUUUCAUAAUAUAAGUCGUUUUCAAGUUUCUAUGCAAAUUAUAUAUUACUUUAAUAUUUUAUAAUUAUUUCUAUUAUGCAAUAUCUUUUAUGAUUGGCUGAACUUUAAAAAAAUAGAUUUUCUUAAUCUGCGUGCUUUUAGCUAAAACGCCUUAUAUUUUGAAACGGAGGGAGUAUUUUUAUCUGAAAAGCUACGUAUGUUAUUAAUGAAAAGAAAAGAGAAAGUUAUUACAUAACCAUAUUAAACUAUCUAAAGGAAUCGUCUUACCAAAAGGAAUCGUCUUACCUAAAGUUAAACUAUCUAAAAGAAUCGUCUUACCUAAUAUCUUUAAUGUUUAACAAGGAUAGAAAGUAAUUGUUUUUAACCACAAAAGCUAAAGCUUGAUAUGAAAAGUUAAAAGCACAUAUAGGUUUGUGAAGACAAAAGAUGUUUUCAAAAAGAAAAAAGGAAAGAAAAAGAAUAAAUUUGUGGAAAGUCGAGGAAAAUGAGAACACGGAAAAUUGAAUAUGAUAUAAGUUGGCAAAAAGAAAGAGAAAAAAUCGGCAUGAUAUUACAAUCAAAUUUUUAAAUCAGGUUAAUUAAUCAAAUUCACGAUGAUUCUAAAAAACGUUUGAAUAGCAGUGAGUUUAAAAUCAGUUAUUCAAGUUAGUUUUGGUUAUUAACAAACCGAAAAAAUGAAAACAAAAUAUUGAGACUCGCAGAAAAUAUUUUCUGUCAAAUAUUCCAGAUAUAUAAAUAGACAUUUUUUUUACAUAUAAAUAGACAAUUUCAAAAAUGUGGUAAAUUGUAUCGUUUUUAUUUCAAAUUUAACUGAGGAGGAAAAAAAAGUUAAGAAUAAAAAAUUGAACACAUAAUUUACAAUUUUGUCCACGUACAUUUCGAUAAAGAAUGCCAUCACAAGUUUUCAAUAGAAUUAGUGAGAUUACUUAGAACUCAGUAACUUUACAAACACAUUUAUCACACUAACUUCAUUUUUUUUACACCAAACUUAUAUUAAAAUUAACUAGCGAUUACAUCACCACACAAAAUUGAAAGUUCUUUACCAAGGAACACACUUGUCGAGUGUUUGAAAUAGAGACAUAACUGAACAUAAGCUUGAAAACGAUAAAAUAAAAAAUUAAAAUCGUAGAUGAUAAUUGGUAACUUCUUUGAAAGGGUUUCGAGAGAAAUCAGAUUGAAAUCGAUCGUCGACUCUUGGUCUUCCAAUAAAUCCGAGAAUGAUGCUAGAAUUUUUGCUUUGGAAGGCAAGCGAACAACAAGAGCUUUUGAUGUUUUUAGAACUGAAUUUUUGAAAACAUUUUUUUAAGAAAAAAUUUAAUGUUAAAUUAUAUUCAAAAGAAAAAACCCACAGUUUAUUACAUUGAAAUGCAACUUUUCAUAAGAAUUAAGUAAAAUGUCUUUUAGAAACAUUCUCCAUGAGGGAGAGUAAUGCUGAAAAAUGUCUUUUCGAAGAGAAGGAAGGAUGAUGGAAUUGAUCUUUCUAAAAAGGAAGAUAAAUGCGGAAGUGAUCUCUCCAUUAAAAAAAAAAUUCUCUAUAAAAGAGGAAGAUAACGGAGAAGCACCGGAAUCACAACCAGUUUUAACUUGAGAGGGUUUAGAACAUGGCCCAAAGAUAAUGAACCUACUAGGCCCAAGAGAAGGCAAACAUUUGCUUAAAAACUCUCUUGUUUUCUACACACAAGAUAAAUUGUAGAGAAAAGUUUUGUUUGAUUAGUUAACAAUCAUUUGCUCAAAGGAUUUGUAUAGGUGGCAGCACCAUUUUUGUUAGAGGAUCCGAUCAAUUGUAGAGAAAAGUUAUAGACUAAAUAAUUAGAAAACAUAGAGAAUUCUAUAGGAACAUUUUAAAAAGAGAAUGUUGUGAUAUCAAAAACCAAUACUCUUUCUUUCAUCUCUAAAAUCGGACUAAAAAUAUGAUUUCGAUUUUACGCUUUCCCAUAAAAAUUUUACAUUUAAUGUGAUGACAAAAACUUAAUUUUUUUUUUGUUUACAACUAUUAUUACUAGGUCAUAACCCCCAUCAUAUCGCGGGGAACUCAUUUUCAACAAAUAUAUUUUAUUAUAUUUUGUAUUAAAUUAUUAUGAUAAUAUAUUCAAAUAUUUAAAUUAUUACAUAAAAUUAACGAUGUUUUAAAGUUAUAUCAUAAAUAUUUGGGAGACUCACAAAAAUGCCCCUUUUUCAAUACCCCUUUUCAAAAAUGCCCCUUUUGGCUGUCCAUUUUUAAAAAUACCCCUUUUUAUGUACAAAAUGACUAAAUUACCCUUAUUUUAAUAAAAGAUAUCACAAAUAUAUAAGGAAAUAUAACAAAAUUAAGUCCACAAAAUACAAAAUAUUUUUUGGCGGGAAAAGUGAUCCCUCAAUUUUUCCCGCCAAAACACUUGUAAAAAACCUUUAAAAUACCUUGUAAAAUUUUUCCGUAAAAUUUUUUCCCGCCAAAAAAUUUUCCCGCCAAAAAUUUUUUUUUGCGGGAAAAGUGAUUCCGUAAUUUUUUUGGCGUUAAAUUUUUGGCGGGAAAAUUUUUGGCGGGAAAAAUUUACAAGGUAUUUUAAAGGUUUUUUACAGGGUAUUUAUAAGGUUUUACAAUGUAUUUUAAAAGGUUUUACAACGUAUUUAUAAGGUAUUUAUAAGAUAUUAUAAGAUUUUACAAGCUAUUUUAUAAAGUUUUACAAGUUCUAAGAUUUUACAAGUUUUUUAUAAGGUUUUACAAGUUUUUUACAAGUUAUAAAUUCCUUAUAAAACUUUAUAAGUACCUUGUAAAACCUUUUAAAAUACAUUGUAAAACCUUACAAAACACUUGUAAAUACUUCGUAAAACCUUUAAAAUACCUUGUAAAUUUUUCCCGCCAAAAAUUUUCCCGCCAAAAAAAUUUUGCCAAAAAAAUUGCGGAAUCACUUUUCCCGCAAAAAAAAUUUUUUGGCGGGAAAAAUUUUUACGGGAAAAUUUUAUAAGUUAUUUUAAAGGUUUUUUACAAGUGUUUUGGCGGGAAAAUUGCGGGAUCACUUUUCCUGCCAAAAAAAAUUUUGUAUUUUGUUGACCUAAUUUUGUUUCAAAUAAGGGUAAAAUGGUCAUUAAAAAUUAAAAGAGGGCAAACUUAAAAAUAGACUCUCAAAGGGGGCAUUUUUUAAAAAGGGUAUUGAAAAAUGGGCAUUUUUAACAAUUUCUCUAAAUAUUUUCCAAAUAUGUUAAAACAAUUUAUGAAUAAAAUGUAAAAAAAAGAAUUAUGAUUAAAAACACUUUUGAAACAUUUUUUCUGAAUGUAAAAUUAUUUAUAAUUAAGUGGUAAAAUACAUAACGAAGAGUUAUAAUAUAGAGAUGAAAAAUUCUAGUGGGUCAAAACCAAAAAAAUCGGAUGAUAUCAGUACUCAGAACGACUUGUGGGUGACUAAGAACUUCAUCCGAGAAUUGGUGUUUUUUGUUUGUCGACUACUCUUUAAAUAUAAAAUUAAUAUUUAUUUUAUUUUAUAUAUUUGAGAAAAUAUAAUAUUUGAUGACGUAAAUUACAUCUAUAAUAAACAAAUAAAUAUUUACAAGAUCUCAUAAAUUUGUAUUUAUAUUGAUAAAUUAACUGAUUAAAAAAACUUUUUUCUUGAAUAUUUAUGUGACGAAUUGGAAUGAUUACUUUUUUUCUAAUAAAGGAGAUGAUUUCUAGAUUAUUAUACCAUCUGAAACGGUUCAUUUGAUGCUUAUCACAUUUAAAGCGUCCAAUCAAAAGCGUCACAUGAGAAUGUUUUUUCAUAUUCGGACUUUGUAAUAGUGUCAACGCAUCAUCAAUAUUUCGUUAUAUACAACCCAUAUAUAUUGUCUUAAGAUAAAAACCCUCAUUGUUACCAUAUAAAAUAGUUGAAUAAAAAAAUUCACUGUAUAAUCCGUCCAAUUCUAAAGAAAAAAUUGUUGGUAUUUUCAUUAGAAUUUUAUAUUUAAAGUUGAUUAAAACUUCUCUAUUUUUAUAAUCAUUCCAAAAAACUUUGGUUAGAUAAAGAAUGAGAAUCAUUUCUUUAAUAUUAAAAUGAUGUAUGUUUAAAAAUAGUUUAGAGAAUAAAGAAUUUGGAACUAUUUUACAGAUUGAUUUUUUUGGAUUCAUCAUGAAAUAAAUAAUCUAUAUUAAAGAACAAAAAUUUGGGAACUACUAAGCAAAAAUGACAAAUAUAUAGAGUUCAAAAGUCACAAAUAUCCAAAUAGAUAACAAUUCAUACAAAAAUUUGUGACGAAAAAAUGCAAUGAAAUAUAGUAAAAAGACGUAAUUUUAAAUGAAUAGAUAUAACUAUAAAGACACAGCCGUAAACUAAAAAAUGCGACUAUAUUUUAAAGGCAAGUUACGAUAAAAAGAACAACCGCAAAAAUAACCGUCAACAAAAAAUGUAACCGUAAAUAUUUUAACGAAGAGUUGUGAUAAAAAGACACAAUUGAGAAAAAAUAGCUGUCAAUAUUUUAACAGAAAAUUACGAUAAAAAGACAAAAACUAAAAAAGUAACCAUCAAUAUUAAAUCGGAAAUUUUUGAUAAAAGACACAACCGGAAAAAUAUUUGUCAACGAAAAAUUAACCGUCAAUAUUAUAACGAAGAGUUGCGAUAGAAAGACACAACCGAGAAAAAAUAAUCGUCGAUAUUUUAACGGAAAAUUGCGAUAAAAAAUACAUAAACAAAAAAAUAACAGUCAAUAAUUUAACGGAAAGUUAUGAUAAAAAGAUACAACCGAAAAAGUAAUUAUCAAUAAAAAAAAGUAACCGUCAAUAAUUUAAUGAAGAGUUGCGAUAAAAAAUACGCAACUGUGAAAAAAUAACUGACAAUAUUUUAACGGAAAUGUGCGAUAAAAAGACACAACGGAGAAAAAAGAACCGUCAAUAUUUUAACGGAAAGUUGCGAUAAAAAUGCACAACCGAGAAAAAUUACCGUCAAUCUUUUAACGGAAAGUUGCGAUAAAAAGACAAAAGUAAAAAAAAGUAACCAUCAAUAUUUGAACGGAAAGUUGCGAUAAAAAGACACAACCGAAAAAAUAACCGUCAACGAAAAAAGUAACCGCCAAUAUUUUAACGAAGAGUUGCGAUAAAAAGACACAACCGAUAAAAAAUAACCGUCAAUAUUUUAGUGAAAAAUUACAAUAAAAAACGCAACCGAAAAAAAUAACCGUUAAUAUUUUAAUGAAAACUUGCGAUAAAAAGAUACAACCGUAGAAAAAUAACCGUAAAUAUUUAAUCGAAAGGUUGCGAUAAAAAGACGCAACCGUUCAGAAGUACAAAACACAUUUAUUGAGAUUGCUAUUAUAUAUAGAUUAAUUAACUUGUGAGGCACAACUGUUAAAAAUGUAACCAUAGAAACUAGGCCUGGGCAUUCGGGUACCCGUUCGGGUUCGGUUCUUUCUUUUCGGGUAUCGGGUCUAUUCGGGUAGGGGGUCAAGAUCCAUUCAGGUAUUCUAAAAAUUCGGUUCGGGUUCGGUUCGGGUAUUUUAAUAAAAAAGCAAAAUACCCGAAAAUAACCAAAAAUACCCGGAAUAUUUUUCGGGUUCGGGUUUUUAACUCAUAUAUACCCAAAUCUAACCGAAAUACCCGAUUUCUCGAAAAUACAUUGGUUACUUUUUACCCAAAUAUAACCAAAAAUAUCUAAAAUACCUAAUAUAUUCGGAUUUAUAAUUGUAAUUUUAGGUAUUUCGGGUAUUAUAAAUAUAAAAAUAACUAAUAUUUUUAGGUGUAUAUUUGUAUUCGGGUACAUUCGGAUACAUUCGGGUAUUGGAUUUGGUUCGAGUUCGGUUCGAGUUUUUUUCGGGUAGGAGGUUAGGACCCAUUCGGGUAUUUUUAAAAAUCGGGUUCGGAUUCGGUUCGGGUAUUAUUCGGGUUUUUCUGUUCGAAUAUUCAGUUCCGGGUAUUUUGCCAGGCCUAAUAGAAACGACCAAUACAGAUUUACAAGAAAAGUAUCAUUAAAUCGGAAAACUGCAAAGCAUAUAUAAUACGAAUUCUAAGUCUUUAAUUAUUAUCAUAAGAAAAUAGUUCCGUAAUCGUGGAAAAAAAGAUAUGAUCAAAUCAAAUGAGAUUUGCUUUGCAUGAUGAUGCCAUAUGUCAGACCAACACAAUGAGCUGUUGUGUCGAUGAACCACCAUAUGCCAAGAUGCGCUAUUACCGACAACAUAUUUGUAUAGUCAAGUUUCAUUAAUUAACAUCCACAGAUCCAAGUCCAACAACUGAAAAAUAAAAUAAAUAUCAUAAGUAGAAUGUAAAGUAGAAAUACUUGUGUACUUAAAUUUUUUGGCUUAUGCCUCUUAAUUAUUAUUACACUAGACUCGACGAAACCAACACUAGCAUGAUUAAAAAAAAAAAAAAAGAUUACAAUUCUAAUUUCCAUUUUAAAACUUUUUAAAAACACAAAAUUUUAAUAAAAAAAAAAACAUUACAAAAUAAAAUUUAAGACUAGACAUCAACUUUACAAGUUGAAGGAGCGAGAAGAGGAACUUGUCCAUUAGAAGAUGGAUUAAAUCUCAACCACACAUCACACCUGGCAUAAAAUCCAUACCGUCCAGUCUUAAUCGCACCAGCUUUCCAUCGGAGCCUCCCUAAAAUCACCACUCUCAUCAAAACGACACCGUAAGCUUCAUCAUUCUUCAAACCGUUAGCCACUUCCGGCGAAACUGGUAUACCGUUGCCUCCCAUCACCGGAGCUAUCACCACCGUAGAUUUAUGUCCUAAACGAAGCGGCGGUAACGGAAGCGGCGGUGUUAUGAUCUGAUCUUUGUACGUUACGUACAUAGAGAGCUUGUCGUAGUGAAUUGAUACUCUCCGGUUAGGGUUUCUUGCCAAAACGCUGAACUGAACGGAGGUUGAGAUUAACGGCGGCGCCGUGAAAUUGAGGUCGUAGAUGGCGGCUCCGACGACGGUGAGACGUGGUUUGUGUGGACGGUAGACGAGCCAAAGGAUUAAAGCGAUGAUACCUAGUAAGAUGAGGACAGUGAAGAUCGCGCCGCAGAUUGCGCGGAGUGCACCUCCACCGCCGCCUCCUCCACCUUUAGAGUAAGAUUCCGGCGUUGAAGAAGCGGAGGGAGCGUUCUUGUGAUCUGCUUUGGCUUCCCCUUCACCCAUGGCUAUAGUCUAUAGAUAUAAGUAUGUAUGUAUGUAUAAGUGUGUGUGUAUAUAUACGAGAACCAGAGGAUUUAUUAAGGGUUUGGUGAAGAGUGAAGACUGUAAAGAAGGAGGAGGAGGAGAAGAAGAUAAGUAGAUGUAAGUUUUUGUCUUGUUUUGUCUACUUAAUAAGAGUAAACACUCUUUUAGAGUCCAUUUUAUUACUGUUUUACAUUGUGGUUUUUAUUAUAAUAUUAAUGUUUUUACUUUCGAAAGACUCCAAAUCUCGGAGCAACCGUUCACGUGACGGAUCUGAUGGUUUUAAAUAAAAAAAAUUUAAUUUUAUCAUAUAAAGAGAUGUAAUGUAAUGUGUAUGUGGCUAUACAUAAUCAAAUAAGUGAUUGUCUAUGAUUGACUUAUUUGAUGACUACUAUGGUUUUCGUGCAAGGUGAUAACUAUCACUUUUUGGCCGUGUUGAAACUUUUAAAAUUAGAAUGAAAAUUAUCACGUUACGGGCUUUACGGCUUGUAAAAGUUAAAACAAAAUAUCUGUUUGCAAUGCCAAAUACGAAUAUUAGCAUCUUAAUUGGUUAUGUGGCCAGAUUUUUUUUUUUUCAUGCAAUCUAUCAUAUUUCACAAUUAUUAAUCAACUGUAUGCUAUGAACGAUUAAUUCAUGGAAGGUAUAGUAAAUGAAUUAGGUACCACAUAUAUCAUAUUUGUUCUAAGGUUUAGAAAAAAGAAAGUACAACAGCCUUUUAUGUCCACAUCUCCAACAAUAAUUUCGAACAAAUUCCAUAUAAUUAAAUAUACAUAUAAACUCAUAUUAAUAAGCUUCCAAAAUAAUUAAUAUGAAGAAUCUGUUAUUAAUUCACACUAACCGAGAUACCGCACCGACACCGUAUUCACCGACAAUGAUACGGAUAGUACCUGGGCCUAUAUCUAAAGCCCAUUUUAUUAAUUGGGCCUGAGUAAUUUAAAACUAUUGUGUACACCUGCUUAACUGAUUCAUCUCUCACUUCUAACGGCUGAUAUAUUUGACGACAAAAAAAAACGGCCGAUUUAUUAAAAGCUCCGAACGAUGAUUCGCCGGCCGAUCUACGACUGCUCCGCCGCUGCUCGCCACCUAAUUUCUCCGUUAUCGACAUUUUCGCGUUUUCUAUCUGAACACAAAGCUGGAGAACCGAAGGCCUCGGCUUUGGUAUCGAAUCCUAGCCCUAAAUCCCCAAUCGGGUCUCCGACUCGGGUUCAAAAGCUCAUAGCUUCGCAAUCGGAUCCUCUCCUCGCCAAAGAGAUUUUCGAUUACGCUUCUCAACAGCCCAAUUUCCGCCAUUCUCAAUCUUCUUAUCUCAUCCUCAUUCUCAAACUCGGCCGUGCUAGAUAUUUCAAUCUCAUCGACGACGUUCUCGCCAAGCACAGAUCAAGUGGUUAUCCGUUAACCGGAGAAAUUUUCACAUAUCUGAUCAAAGUCUACGCAGAGGCAAAGAUACCGGAGAAAGUUUUAAGAACGUUUUACAAAAUGCUGGAGUUCAAUUUCACGCCGCAGCCAAAACAUCUGAAUCGGAUUCUAGAGGUUCUUGUAAGCCAUAGAGGUUAUCUCCAGAAAGCUUUUGAGCUUUUCAAGAGUUCACGGCUUCACGGAGUAAUGCCUAACACGAGAAGCUACAAUAUAUUGAUGCAAGCUUUUUGUUUGAAUGAUGAUUUGAGUAUUGCAUACCAAUUGUUUGGUAAAAUGCUUGAGAGAGAUGUUGUCCCUGAUGUGGAGUCUUAUAAGAUUCUGAUAAAAGGGUUUUGUAGGAAAGGGCAAGUGAAUGGUGCUAUGGAAUUACUGGAAGAUAUGUUGAAUAAAGGAUUUGUUCCCGAUAGACUGAGUUAUACGACAUUGUUGAACAGUUUGUGUAGGAAGACGCAGCUCAGAGAGGCUUAUAAGCUUUUAUGUAGGAUGAAGUUAAAAGGUUGUAAUCCUGAUCUUGUUCAUUACAACACGAUAAUUCUCGGGUUUUGUAGAGAAGAUCGCGCGAUGGAUGCUAGGAAAGUUCUUGAUGAUAUGUUGUCUAACGGUUGCUCGCCUAAUUCGGUCUCGUAUAGGACAUUGAUUGGAGGAUUGUGUGAUCAAGGAAUGUUUGAUGAAGGGAAGAAGUAUCUACAAGAGAUGAUAUCGAAGGGGUUUUCUCCUCAUUUCUCGGUUUCGAAUUGUUUGGUAAAAGGGUUUUGCAGCUUCGGGAAAGUUGAAGAAGCGUGUGAUGUGGUAGAGGUUGUGAUGAAGAACGGAGAAAUAUUGCAUUCAGACACUUGGGAGAUGAUAAUUCCAUUGAUCUGUAAAGAAGAUGAGUCGGAGAAGAUCAAACGGUUUCUUGAAGAUGCUGUAAAGGAAGAGAUAACCGGUGAUACCAGAAUUGUCGAUGUCGGUAUCGGUUUAGGUUCUUACCUUUCUAGUAAGCUACAGAUGAAACGUAAAAAUGUUAGAGAGAGGAGGAGACAUUUAUAGGUUACUGAUCCUGAGGAACUGUAGAAGAAACCUCGAGUUUGUUUGCUCAGAAAGUGUUGUGAUAUUGGUUAGUGGGCCUCAUUUGGGCUUUUACUAUUAUUUUAAGCCCAUUUGGCUUCAUAUCAGAUUCUGAUCAUUUAGUAAGUGAGAGUGGCAACGAAUCAGAUCUGAAUUUCGCCGAUUACUCAGAAAAUCAUAAAAAUGCCGGAGCUUGAACAAGACGUUGCGGCGGCGGAGACGGUGGAUUCCUCCACCGUGAAAUUUGGUACACCAGAAGCACUUGAGUAUGUACGGUCGCUCACUGACGUUGGCGCGAUGACGCGUCUUCUUCACGAAUGUAUUGCUUACCAGCGAAGCUUAGACUCAGAUCUCGACACGCUUCUAUCGCAGCGGACGGAGCUUGAUCGGAAUCUCGUUCAGCUUCAGAGAUCCGCCGAGAUUCUCGAUAUCGUAAAAGCGGAUGCAGAUCACAUGCUCGGAAAUGUUCGAUCGACUUGUGAUCUCGCGGAUCAGGUCAGUGGCAAGGUACGAGAACUCGAUCUUGCUCAAUCUCGUGUUAAUGUUACUCUCUCCCGCAUUGACGCGAUUGUCGAGCGAGGGAAUUGUAUCGAAGGCGUGAAGACUGCUUUGGAAUCGGAGGAUUAUGAAUCUGCUGCGAAAUUUGUACAGAGAUUUCUCCAGAUCGAUUCGCAGUACAAGGAUUCUGGUUCUGACCAGAGAGAACAGCUUCGCGCGUCGAAGAAGCAGCUUGAAGGUAUUGCGAAGAAGAAGCUUUUAGCGGCAAUAGACCAGAGGGAUCAUCCUACGAUUUUGAGAUUCGUGAGACUGUAUUCUCCAUUGGGAAUGGAGGAAGAAGGUCUACAGCUAUACGUUGGUUACUUGAAAAAGGUCAUUGCGAUGAGAGGAAGGAUGGAAUAUGAAAAUGUGGUUGAGCUUAUGGAGCAAGGACUCGGACAGGCUAAUUUCGUUGGGUGCUUAGCCAAUUUGUUUAAGGAUAUUGUCAUGGCUAUUGUAGAAAACGAUGAGAUCUUGAGGGGUCUUUGUGGAGAAGACGGUGUUGUUUAUGCGAUUUGUGAAUUGCAAGAGGAAUGUGAUUCUAGAGGUUCGUUGAUCUUGAAGAAGUACAUGGAGUUUAGAAAGUUAGCUAGAUUGGCGUCUGAUAUUAACAAUUCUCCGAAUCUGAAUCUUCUUGCUGGUGGUGCUUCUGAAGGACCAGACCCGAGAGAAGUUGAGCUGUAUGUGGAAGAGAUACUGUCACUGAUGCAGAUUGGUGAGGAUUAUACCGAGUUCGUGGUGUCAAAAAUCAAGUCUUUGACGUCGGUAGAUCCUGAAUUGUUGCCAAGGGCUACAAAAGCAUUUAGAAAUGGAAGUUUUUGCAAAGUGAUUCAGGAUGUGACAGGAUUCUAUGUGAUACUAGAAGGGUUCUUUAUGGUUGAGAAUGUGAGGAAAGCUAUAAGGAUCGAUGAGCAUGUACCUGACAGCCUUACCACUUCAAUGGUGGACGAUGUGUUCUACGUGUUGCAGAGUUGUCUGAGGAGAGCGAUUUCAACUUCAAACAUCAGUUCUGUGAUUGCUGUGUUGAGCAAUGCUGGUAGCUUGUUGGGCAAUGAUUACCAUGAAGCUUUACAACAGAAGAUUAGAGAGCCAAACCUUGGUGCUAGGUUGUUCUUGGGUGGUAUCGGUGUGGAAAACACCGGAACUGAGAUUGCAACUGCUUUGAACAAUAUGGACGUGAGCUGCGAGUACAUUAUCAAACUAAAAAUUGAAAUCGAGGAGCAAUGUACUGAGGUUAGUUCUCAUACUUCUGAUACUUGGUGAUUUACUUAUCUAGGGUACUUAAGGAACAACAAUCGGGGAUCUAUUAGACUAGAAUUCUCUUGCUUACUCUUACCUGACUCUAUAUGGAUCUAUCUCUCACUUUCUUUGGGUUAAAGUGUUAACAUAGAUAGCGAUAGCUUCAUUUUUUGCUAGAGGUAAUGCAGGCUCUGUUCAUCUCAUGAAAAUCAUGUAUAUUGGCAUUUGAGGAGCGAAACCUAUUCUCUAUAUGUUGAUUUGCAUUCUUGAAUCCUAGACUCCUGGACAUAUCUGUCUCACUUUCUUUAUCAUGUGUCGUAAUCACAGGUGUUUCCUGCACCAGCAGAUCGAGAGAGGAUAAAAUCAUGUUUAUCCGAGUUAGGUGAGUUAAGCAACACGUUCAAGCAAUUACUCAACUCAGGCAUGGAACAGCUAGUGGCAACCGUAACACCAAGAAUCCGUCCGGUUCUAGACACUGUAGCUACCAUAAGCUACGAGUUAACAGAAACUGAGUACGCAGAGAACGAGGUGAAUGACCCGUGGGUCCAAAGACUUCUCCACUCGGUCGAAACAAAUGCCGCGUGGCUCCAACCACUCAUGACAUCCAACAACUACGACUCGUUUCUGCAUCUCAUAAUCGAUUUCAUAGUUAAAAGACUCGAAGUCAUAAUGAUGCAGAAACGGUUUAGCCAGCUUGGCGGGCUUCAGCUUGACCGGGACACAAGGGCUUUGGUUAGCCAUUUCUCGGGAAUGACUCAAAGAACAGUGAGAGAUAAGUUUGCUCGGUUAACUCAAAUGGCGACGAUACUGAACUUGGAAAAGGUCUCAGAGAUUUUGGACUUUUGGGGAGAGAACUCAGGACCCAUGACUUGGAGACUCACACCAGCUGAGGUUAGACGGGUUUUGGGUCUCCGAGUCGAGUUUAAACCCGAAUCAAUUUCUGCUCUCAAGUUGUGAUGUUACUUCUUUGUUUAUUAUGUCAUCUACAAUUACUUAAAUCCAAUUUUUUCAUAAUCUGAUUGGUGAAUGAAAACUUAAUUAAUACCAAACGAACCUAAAAACUCCAUCUGCGUUUAUGUCAUUUACCCUGUUAAAAGUAUUUAAUCAGUAAAAAACAGUAACAAAUAUGACGUGGUUAAUUUCUUAAGAAAAACUCGAUUUUUUUCCCUCUUUCGACUCAGUUCAUGUUUUGGAUUAAAUGUAGUAAUUUGAAAAGAAAAAAAAUUAAAACAGGAAAUGUUUAAAGUAUGUAGAAUUCUCUUUUCCAUUUUAGUUUCAGAUAAGUUUAGAAUUUAGUUCGACUGUACGAACGUGAAUAUAUGCCCAAAAAGAUGUGAUGUAGCGUGUAAUCCACGUUGGAUGCUUUUGUUCGAUUCGAUAAAUGUUGGGUCCAAAACUGAGACAUAAGCAAAACAUGGGAUCCCAAUAAAUAAUUAUAAACUCUUGUCCUGUACAAUGUCUGUCUAUAAAUAGACUUACAUCUUCAAACAUGAGAUAUGUACAAGUCUCCCCCCACUUAAAAAGAUUUAGUUUAAUAUCGUUUGCAGUUUCUUACAAUGUCUCGACCAAUCCCUAUUGAAGGUAAAAAACAAAAAAAAAAAACAUAACUUUGUUGUGUCUGAUCUUUUUAUCAUUAUCAGUUCCAAUUUAUAAGAAUAAUUUUCUCUUCUUGACAGAAAUGGUGAGACUGUUUAAAUCGCGUCACACAACAUCUCACUCGUUCAAGAUAGACAACUUCUCUUUACUCAAAAAGUAUGGAAUCGAAAAGGUCGAAUCCUCUGUUUUCGAUCUCGCUGGUUAGGCCUGGGAAAAAAAACCGCUAACCAAAUAAUCGACCGAACCGAAUCGAAAAAAACUGAACCAUAUCCGAACUGAAGUUUUUAAAAUAACCGAAUGGUUUGUAAAAUCUCCUAUCCAAACUAACCGAAACCGAACCGAACCGAACCGAUAACCAAACGGUUAACCGAAAUAUCCAAAAACCUAUAAGAUACCCAAAAAUAAUAUCCAAAACUAUAAUUAUAACCUCAAAAAAUUAAUUAUUUUUAUAAUCAAAACAAUCAAAUACUUUAAAUAAUCAAAAUAUUCAAAUAUUGUUUGUUAUAUUUAUCAAAGUUAAAUACUCUUUUACAAAAUUGAAUCAAAUUUUAAUUUUUUUCUAAUAUUUUAAUUUUUUUGCAUUUUCUUUUUGUAUUUUUUUGGUUAAUUUUGGUUAGUUUCGGUUAUAUUCGGUAAAUUUCGGUUAAUUUGGGUAAAAACCCGAACCAAACCGAACGUGAUAAAAGUUUGAUUAGUUACGGUUACCUAUUUAAAUAUCCAAACCGAACCGAACCGAAAGGUAACCGAACCGAACCGAACCGAAAUUCUUAAAAUAUCCGAAUGGUUAUUAUAUUACCAUAUCCAAACUAACCGAAACCGAACGUAACCGAACCGAAACCGAAUGGUCAACCGAAUGCCCAUGCCUAUCGCUGGUCACAAAUGGUGAUUAAUCUUUUUGAUCUUCUUAUUAUGCUUAUUGACAUACAACAGAAAAAAAGCAAAAAAAAACAGUUAUGACUAACCUCCAUAUGACUUUGGACUUUGGUAUGAUAAUAGGACACUCUCUGUCUACCCAAAUGGGCAUAAAAGUGCUAAGGGGACUCAUGUCUCCAUCUUCUUAAUGAAUCAAGUUUCAGUUAAUGUUUUGCUUACAUAUAAGCUCUUUGUCGUCAGUCAACUAGAGCGAAAAUGGCACAGCAAGAGUCUCUAUCUCUCUCUCUCUCACUCAUAUAUCUGUGUGUAUAUAGGUUUGAUAUGGCGUCCAUGUUGAUGUGUUAUAUGUGCAGGCAAAGACCAAUUUGAUACAAAUCCAGAACCGAGUACUGAGGGGUUUUAUGAGUUCAUAACUCUUGCUGAUCUUAAGAGAAACGGUUACCUUAUUGGUGUCAAGUUUUAUGAGAUUGAACCUGCUAAUCCCGGGACUGCAGAAUGUUUUAGCUUAAUUGAGAAGCCUCUUAAUCACAAAGUUACCUGGAUGAUGAGCAAGUUCUCGUCCUUUAACCCUGGAAAGGUCCAUCAGUCUAAUGAAUUUGUCGUUGGAACCAGGAAAUGGUAAAUAUAUAUAUUGAUUCCAACGACUUAUUAUUCCCGAUUAGAAAAACCUUAUACUAAUGAAAAUGCAUCACAAUAUAUUUGAUCAGGAGAAUUGAAGUUCAUCCAAGAGGGUAUAAUGAGGAAAAAGACAAAUCAUUUUCUGUGUAUCUAUCCGCAGAAGGGUUUGUCAAGAAUGCACCAAACACAAAAACUUACGCGAGGUUCAAGCUGCGGGUAUUGGAUCAAGUUAGCUGGAAUCAUGCUGAGAGAGCAGGUUUAUAUGAUCCAUCUUUAUUAGGAGGAAUAUGUUUUGGAAUUUAAGUCUUGUGAUGGUAAAAUAAUAGUAAUCUUUCAUUUUUGUAGGUACGGAGUGGUUUGAUGCAGAACCUGAGCAAAGUGGCUUCGCGGAUUUCAUGCCUUUGGGGAAACUAGAUGAACCUUAUUUGGUGAAGGAUAAGCUUUAUGUGGGAGUUGAGUUUGAAGUUAUUUCUACCACUAAUUACUGUUAGCUUCUUGGCUUUAAUAAGCCUUAUUGUGAGCUAAAUAUAGCAAGAAAUGUUAUAAUGUAUUGAAUAAAAUGCUGGAGAAUGUACCUACUGAUGCAGUAAUGACUUGGAGGUGGGACUACAUCGACCGAGUCUUAGCCAAAGUCAUAUUUCUCUUUUUGUCAUUUGUAUAACUAAAUAAUAAAAAGGAAGAAACAGUUUGCUUCCAAGUUUUUAGGAACCGUGAGGUUCUUUCACUUUUUGUCAUCAAAGUCACACUUGCAAUUAGUAAAAACCUCUGUCUUGAGGGUAAACUGCAAAUGGCAAUCAACCAAAUCCAAGCUAAGACUAAGAGGAUGAAAUUGUUGUCACAUCAUCUCUUCUAUGGAUCAAACAGAUAAGAAGAAGAAACAAACAAUUCCUUGUCAUUGUCAAGUAUGCAUCAGAUUAAAGAAAAAAAAAAGACCUUUAUUCUAAUUCCAUGUUGGACCUGGAGAUCUGAUUCACACACUUUCUGUUUAUUAGGAAUCUUAAAUUUGGGAUAAGAUUCCUGAUGCACAGAAAGUGGUUUUCUAAUUUCUAGUGGUUACUUUCAGAUUAAUCGAAUUAUCAUCGAAUCAAUUUUAUGGUAUUUUCUUUCGGCUAAAAAGUUAAGAAAUUCAAAUUCACAUUUUUUUCGCAAAACACAGCUCAAAGGUUGUUCCUUUUUUUCAAUUUCUUAGGAUGUUAUUCAAAUUACAGACAUUAUCAAACUUAUCAGAGAUUUGAUAACAAAAGCAUAGCAAAGCAAGCGUUUUGAUGAGUUUCCAUUUUAGGAUAUUUAUCUCUGUCACACUGAGUCUUGAGGAUUGAACUUGACUGUUUCACGGUAUAUAAGCUCCUUAAUGUUCUCUUCUGUCAAAGUAGGUUGCUCGAAAUCGAAAUUGAACGGCCUCACACAUACCGGUUCUUCGUUUAUAUCAUGCAGCGGUGCCAAAUAUGGGUGGCAUAACGCCUCAUCAACUAGACACACAAAAAAAUUGUUCAGAUAAUAGCCGAAAAACAGAGAAGAAGCAGAUAUAUAAAAUAUAACUCACCUGUGAUGCGUCUGCUUGGAUCAAAAACAAGCAUUUUCUCCAGCAAAUCGACUGCACCAGCCGACAUGUUUGGGAAUCUAGCAGCAAAGUUCUGUCUCGGGUACUGCGGAAGCUGUCUAACGUAUCUUCUUGCAUUGUCACUUCUUAAGAAUCCCAAGCUUGAGUCAUCAGGCGAUCCUAUAAGCUGCUUUUCAAAGAUUCAUCAAUAAAUGCAGAUGAUACCGUGAAGAAACACAAAGUGGCGAUUCUUUGGAUGAAACUAGAUUACCUCAGUGAUGAGUCUAAGCUGAUGAACAUAAUCUUUACCGGGAAACAACGGCUCUCGUGUCAUUGUUUCACCGAGUAUACAACCGACAGACCAAAUAUCGAUUGCUGCUGUGUAUUCUGAGCAAUUAAGGAGCAGCUCUGGGGCUCGAUACCAACGUGUAACAACAUAUUCAGUCAUGAAGUCUGUCUCGGAUUUGGUCCUCGCAAGCCCGAAGUCCCCAAGCUUUAGAUCACAAUUUGCAUUCAGGAGCAAAUUGCUGGGUUUCAAAUCUCGGUGCAAUACAUUAGCUGAAUGAACGUAUUUGAGCCCUCGCAACAACUGAUACAGAAAAAACUGCAAAACAAAAUCGAGACCAAUUACUAAACACAACAAGCCCAACUUCAAAGAGAACAAGCAUAACAAUGGCUCACACUUAUAAGUAUCAAGCGAUACUAAAUCUAACUGUUGUUUUGAUCAACCAUAAUUCAUUAGAUGCCCUAACACAAUAACAGCUGCUCUAGCUGCCUGAACCCAAGUAACUUGUAAAGUAGAAAGAGAAGAUUCAUCCGCUAGAUACAUACCCGACAAUGAUCAUCAGUCAACGGUUGGUUAGAGCGUAUAAUUUGGUGGAGAUCAGUGUCCAUAAGCUCAUAAACAAUGUAAACAUCAUUGAAGUUCUCUCUCUGCGGUGGUUUUAUUAUAUCCUUGACAGCAAUCACCUGCACAAAUAAACCAAUAUAAGUAAGAUUCACAAAACAAAUCCAGAGAUGAGAUUAGAGUCACGUACAUUUUCAUGAUCCAUAUGCUUGAGAAGCUUAAUCUCUCUCAAAGUUCUUUUAGCAUCGAUAAUAUUGUCAAAAGCAUUACCGAUCUUCUUGAUAGCUACUUCCUCUCCAGUCUCUGAGUUUGUAGCAGCACUGAUCAACAAAUAUGAACACAAGUUAAAAGAAACAGAUCCGAAAAUUGAAUUCCAAGAACAAUCAAUCCCUAACAAAGUAAAUCGAGAAUCGCUCGAAUUAGAAGUUUCUAAGCACAAAUCUGGAGAAAAACUGACCAGACAAUACCAUAAGCGCCUCUACCGAUGGGACGAAGAGGAGGAACAUACUUUCUAGAAACUUCGAAGAGAUUGCCAUAGACAUUAUACUGAACAUAGCUACCACCAUGAGUAGGCAAUCCUUUGCUGCUUUGAUCACCUGAACUUCCGAAACAAGUUUCCGCCGACAUCGAUAAAAUGAAGAACCCUAGAUACACGCACAGAGAAGAAAUUGAGGAGGAAUUGAGAAGAUGGGUGUUGACAUUUCGUUAUAAAGUCUCCACCUUUUUUAUUUUUAUUGCCAAAGGGGAUGUCUCCUCUCGGGUCACCCGUGAACCUUAAACCGGGUUUUUUUUCUUCUUUGUAAUCUGAUGAUUGUGUCUCUAAGUAAUUGAUGAAUUUUGUAUAAUGGAACAAGUUAAUGACUUCAUGUGGGAAUGUUUCUGAUAUCAUAGAAUAAUGUUACAAGAAUUUUAUUGACAACUUUUCUCCAAUAAGAAUUUGAGUAUGACUUGGUAUAUUGGUGGUGUACAAGUCAAUGGGCGGCCAAAUUGUAUUUGACCAUAAAACUGACCUUUGAUUCCAAAUUCAUUAAUGGAAAAAUGUAUAUGUAAAACAACUUAUAUAACUAAAAGUUUGGUGCAUUUGUUAUUUAUUAUCAAUAGCUUGAAUAUCUAUCUGGUUUGCUUUGACUGAUAAUGUAACCAUGAAAAUGACACUGAUUUUUUUUUUGUCUAGUGAUUUACAAUGGGCCUCAAGCAAACCCAUCACUUAUCUAUUAUGCGUGUGAUCAUUACCAACUAAGAUGGACUGAAGCCGAUUUAGGCAGUCCACAAGAGCACAGUUUUUGACUAACUUGAAAAUGUAGUUAUUAGCUUAGUAACUUCUAAAAUAUGCUCACUGAUCAACACUUAAAAGUACUUUUUAAGUAUUUUGUUUCGUUUUAAAAUCUCAUUUUUUUAUCUGCAUUUGUACUUAACAUCAACGAAAGCACUACCAUAAUAAUUACAUGUUUCCUCUAUUCACAAACAAAUCAUAACACUUUUAACCAUCGGUGGCAAUGCCACUCCCAGCUCUUUAGCGUAUUUCGUCCAGAGGCUCUCGAACAAUGCGUCUCGGGCAGAGAUCACCAUCUUCGACAAGCAACGUGUUUCCUUGGAGACAAGCUCAAACCUUUCCGAAAGUUCUAUCACUGACUUCUUUAAUGGCUCCACCAACAAAAUAGGAACUGACCCUUCUUGUACCUCUGAGUAAAGCUUCUUCACACCGGUUUCAACAGCCUCGAGAUCUUUUAUAACCGUGAAUUUGUCUGAUAAGAAUGUGUUUUUGAUCACUGGGUUAAUCAUGUUCUGCAAUUCCAUGAAAGCUUGUGCCCAUGGAAGUUCCUCCACCUCCUUUGGAAUGUUUAGAUAGAAGAGAUUCUUGGAAGAACCCGAGAACGCUGCAGCAAACACGCUGAAUAUGUAUAAAGUCUUGACCUUUACAGCGUAUAGAGCUCGCAAGAGGACUUUUCCUUCCGCAGAGUGUUUCUUCUUCGCCUUCUUGGAGAGAUGAUGAUGAUCCAUCGAUUCAACAAGCCUACUCAAAACCGCGCCACAGUUUUCGAUUCUCCGGUUCUUGGAAACCAUGUGCUGAUUCCAACUGUCAAGAUGCGAUAACGAAAAUUCCUCUGAACAGUUGUUUGUCUCCAGCUUACUAAAAGCAAACUUGAGUAAUAGAUUGCCAUGGUUCAGACGAUCUAUCUCAGAGAUGAAGGCGUUGCAGAGUUCAAGGAGGUUCAAGCUAAUGUCAGAGUAGAUAUAAAUCAAAUUUUCCUCCAAGUCCGAUACUGGAAGCUCUAAAUCCGUCACGAGCGUCCUGAUACUCUUGUGUGUCUCACAAAGAGACUCCAUAGCUUGUAUCAUCCAAGAAACACUAAUGAUAUCAUUCUUAUCCUUCGGUAUAAGUUCUCUAAUCGAUACCAUCAAGUUAGUCUCGAAAUUGUUCAACAGUGAGAGAAGCUUUGGCGAUAAUCGAGCGUUGUUGUUCUUCGUAAACAAAAUCUUGAACGGGUUUCGACAGUGGAAGAACCUGUGUGGAGGAUCUUGUGUACAUUGUUGGCUCAUAUCAACUGAAAACACAAAAAAAAAGGAAGAAACAAAGUUAGUAAUCUGAAACAAUGAGCAAACUAAUAACAUUGUUCUGAAUCAAAAAUCCGAAUCAAUAGACCUCAAGAUUUCAAAAAAAAACAAAAACAAAAAAAAAGAGACAUUAUUUAAGUAAACAGAACAAAACCCAGGUCACAAAAUCCGAAUUCUGGAGAUUUCACACCCAAAUUGGCAUAAAAAGUAAACCAAAUUCGCCGACGAUUAACAUCACCAACGAAAACUGACCUAAAGAGAGAGAUUCUUCGGGAAUGUUACCGCUUACUUUAAUGUUACGCUACUUCAAUGAAGGAGAGACAAAAACCUAAUCUAACUUUGCAGAGAAAAGAAACCAAAAGAGCGUAUAAAUAGGAGAUGGGUUUAGUGUUCUUACCUACCGAGUAGGCGAGUAUAUAAUAAUAAAAUUUGGGAUUCGAAAUGUCAAGGAAACGCAAAAGACUUGAAACGCGUUCUUAUAGGGAGGAGGAAUCAAAGAAACUUGCCGUGUUCUGCAGAUCAACGCUAUCGCAACUUUAAGUCCCGCGUUGGUUUUGCUAGUUGUAAAGGACCUUCUUCUGUUUCAGCUACGCGGCUGUGGCGAAGAAUAGAGACAUAUAUACACGUGUACGGUUGUGAUGUCUCAGUUAUUAGUUAGAUGUUUCACUCAAUCGUUGACAUUUGUCAGUAUAGUCGCCGGCUAUUUCUCAAUCCAAGGGGCUAGAAAGUUCCGGAAAACAAUUGUUUAUUCGGAGGGGUAUAUUUGUCAAUUCUCACGUUGCUCCAAACCCAUCUCACUGGGCCGCGUUGGGCUUUUUUUUUUUAGGCCGAAAACAACUAGAAGAGGGUUGAUAUUAUAAUAUAGACGCUUAUCUGAAAUGUCAUUUUUUGUUAAUUAAUCGCUGCAACUAAUGUUUCUUAGCACCCAAGUAGACGAAUCUCUCGAAGCCUCCAGUGAAUCUGAUUAUAUCUUUAUAUAUAACAUAGGUUAACCUAUGAAAUCAAAAGCAGCUGCAAAUCAGAAAGUUCCAAAACAUCCAAAUCUGGAGGAAAAGACUUGAUCACUAAGCUCUACUCAUCCAAAUGUGUCUUUGUAUCUUAAAAAGGGAUAGAAAGUGGAGUUAGAUGCAAAACAUGAUCUAUCUUUUUCUCGAUCCAAGCCAAUCUUCUCUCAAAGCUCAACACACUUCUAUGCAUAUUCCUUGCAUCAAUCUCAGCGACCAUAGCACAAACCCGUAAAAGAAUGUAGUAAUCAGCAUGAGCCGCGUAUAUCAAUGCUCCAUCAUCAUUUUUCCUCACAUAUUGAAGAUAGUCUAGUCUCUUUACCUUCACUCGAGGCGGUAUGUAUUGGAACAAAUUGUCCCUCAUGUCUGUUAUUAGUCUUCUUAUCACUUUCUCCUUGGAUUUCUCUUCGUGAUUAUGCUUAUCUGGUGAUGAAACACUUUCCAAAGAUGGCUCAUCACAAUCCGUUGACCCGGUUUCGCUUUUUCUUGAACGACUGCUACAAGGGUUGUUUCUGUCCCUCAACUGGCCGACGUUCAUGGACAGUUGGUUAAGUGAUAAAUCAUUGUCUUCCCAGUCUCUUGGAUGGAAUCCCAAACCGUUCAAAUUCCUGCCAAAUGCGAUUUACAAAGAGAUGGUUUAUAAUCAAGAACAUCAUAAAUUACAGUGUCGAAGAUUUUUCAAAAAAAUCGAGUAAAUUUCACAUCAUAUUCCAUAGUAGAAUUUAAAACAACAUAGAAAGAUAAACAUGCCUCACCUGGUCUUUCGGGUAACUAUUCCACAGAUUAUCAACAGUUCUGUAUGUGUCAUCAGCUGAUGCUUCUUCUAAGCCAGCAAAGAUCUCGUUUUUCCCAUGCAAUAAAUAUGACAAAAGAUCCUUUUCAUGUUCUGCAAAAGAAAAGGGCAUUCAGGAAGGUUAGGAUCUAGAGAGAUGAACAUAUCAUCACAGGGAAUAAAGGAAUUUACCAACGGUUUCAGCAGCGACCUCGUGAUAUUUCGUUUCAAGGUUUUUCAAAAGCUCCUCAGUUGCUUUGGUGACAUCCUCCUCACUAGCAUCAAGCAAACCCAAGCUUUGUUCCCAUACACCAAAACCAUUGAUAUUAUAAAGCAUCCGAAUAGCUACGAUAAUAAUAGACAUGACAUAGACACGAGUGGGAAGCCUGAGCUCGUUCUUUGAUAGAUACAAAUCGGAAGGCAUUGACCAGUUGUGUAAGAGACGGACCAGAUCAAGAACCUUCUCCUUGGGAAUAGACAACCGCUCUAGAUAGUUUGAAGCUAUAGCAUAGAAAUUCACAGGAGGCAAAGGCAAACCGAUGAUAUCAGCAAUGGAAGCAACUUGAGCUUCUAAUCUCUGAGCAGAAACAAUCUGACUAGGCUUAAACAUCACGCUUACAGACACAGGACACGCAGCUGAUCUGUCUCCCAUUUGCUCUCGAAUCUUGAGAAAAGAAGAAAGAUACGGAAACUUUCCUUGUCGUGCCCAUCUAACUAUAUCCGUGGGUGUUCCAGCUUUGUGACAAGCAAGGAAAGAUAAAGCCAAAGAAGACGAUAAAGGCAGAGACUUUUUAAGCUGACUUAACCAUAUCGUUACUGCUCUUUUACCAUAUAAGUUUUGAGGUUCUUCGGAGGCUUUACCACGCUUAACCUCUGGCUCUCUUACUUCUCCUGAAAAAAACUCAAAACAUCAAUGACUGGAAAAAAAAAAAAAAAAAAAAGAGAAAAUGUGAAGCAAUUAGAGAAGAGGCAAAGCAACCCUCUGAUUGGAGCUCGGAUUCAAGAAUCGCCUUAUCAGCCCAAUCAUCAUCGACCAAACCAAUAAUCAAUGGCGUCACAUUGAAUUUCUCAACCAACGCAUCGCACUGAUAAGUUAUCAUCAUCAGUAAACCUUUGACGUAUCUAUCUCUGGUCUCCUUGUAAUAAUCCUCGUAACUCAAUUUGACAGGCUCUGGGUUUGGUGCUGGUUCAGGGCGAGUGUCUUGUUUUCGAUAAGUUCCGCCACCGCCGGCUCCGCCCAAAUCUUCGCCGUCGACGCCUGUUUGGAUAAUACCGUCCGCCUGAGUAGAGCAUUGUAGGCAGUAAAAAAAACCAUCUCCUCCAUCUUCAAAGCUGUCGCUCUCGCAAAUAUGGCAAAUCAUCGUCGUUGAUGAAGAAUGACAAGAUUGCGUCAACGAAACACUCUUCGGGCGUUCAGGACUCUUAAGAAGAAUAAAUGGGCCGUAGGCCCGCCCCUUCUUCACGCCUACUUUAUUAUAUAAAGUUGUAGGGAAUCCGAAAAUUUAGGCUAUCAAAUUUAAUUAUUAAGUAAUUAGACAGAAUAACUCAUUAGGAAAAGUCAUAUGCUGCGAUUUGUAUUCUCUAAAUGUUCGAAUUACUGAAGACUAGAGAUUUAGGCCAUGAAUAUUUACUAGUUUUUAAGUGGUUUUUUGGUUUUUAAAAUUUUGGUUUUUGGUUUUUUGUUAUAAAUAUAAAAAUUAAUUAAAAAAUCAAAAAAUCAAAAAAAAAAACAUAAUCACGUUGAAAAAUAAAAUUUUCCACAAAAUCAUGAUACUCUUUGAAACUUGGAAAAACCACUCAAAAACUAGUUUUUCUAAAUUUUAUGAAAUCUAGUUUUUUUAAAUCUUGAAUGGUGAAAAAAUAGAUUUUUUCAUAAACAAAAACCAAAAGUUACUUAAAAACUACUCCCUCUGUUCCACAAAAUUUGAUGUUGUGGGUUUCUUUUUUGUUCCACAAAGAUUGAUGUUUUGUAUCAAUUUUAUUAUUAUUUUUAUGUGUGGCCAAUAGAGAGAGAGGAGAGAAAUAGAAUUAAUAUUAUUAAACAAACAAAAUAGUAAUUAAAAAGUAUAAAAUUUAUAUUUUCUUAAUUUGUGUGCAAAAUACACAACAUCAAACUUCAUAGAACAGAGGGAAUAGUAAUCAUUCAAGGCCUUAUUUUGAGAAGCCUAUUUACAAUGCUUCCAUAUAAAAUAAACAUACUACAGUAAAACCUCUAUAAAUUAAUACUCUAUAAAUUAAUAACCUCGUUAAAUUAAUAAAUUCUUCCGGUCCCGAGUAAGUACCAGUGUAAAAUAUGACAUAAAUCGAUAAAUUAAUAAAAUAAUAAUUUUUUUGAAAAUCUCAUGUAAACAUAUGGUCCCAUCUAUAUCAUAAAUUAAUAAUUGUAUUAACUUAUCAAUAUAUAUAUAUACAUUAUAUAAAUUUAUAUAUGUUAUAUAUGAAUUACUAUGAUAUAUAUUUAAAAUAUUAUAUGUAAAAAAUUUGAUGAAAUAUGACUCUAUUAUUCGAAAAAAGUUUGUGUUGUUUUUUAAACUUAAUAAUUGUUUCUCUACUUGUAAUUAGUUUUUAAAAGAUAUUGUUAAUAAAGAAAAAUUUUAUAUUUAGAUAGAAUUUUUUUUAAGAAAUUACAAAAUUAGCAAAAUCUCUCUAUAAAUUAAUAAUUAUUAAUUUAUCGAUAAAUUAAUACCUCUCUAAAUUAAUAAAAUUUCAUAGUCCCAACAUUAUUAAUUUAUAGAGGUUUUACUGUAGUUCGAAAAAUGAAAAUAGAACGCAUUUACUUUAGUUGUUACAUACAUACUUUAGCAUUAGGUAUAGACGUGUAUAGUUAUUUAUUAAUCUAAUUGAGAUAGGUCUAUUGUAUCUUACUAGGAUCGGACAUAUAUAUUGGUUUACAUGUAAUGUUGUGAUGUUGAUUUUAAUAUUGUGCAUAUUUUUAGUAGAGCGAAUCGUGUAGUGUACUUAUAAAUAUUUAUAAUAGCGAAUUGUUGAAAAAAUAUUAAAUUGUUUAUAAUUAAAACCCAUCAUAUUAAUUAUGAUUUAGCCGCAAAAUGGAAAUUUAUGUUUACGAAUUUUAAAAUUAGACAAUUCAUAGAACUAGAGCCGUCAAAAUAGGUCAAAAAGUGGUCUCAUGGAUUGAUCUGCAGUGGGUCAUAGGUUUAAAGAAUUCUUAAUAAAUGAAAUUAAUAUUUAUAAAAUUAAUGAUAUAUAAGAUUAUUUUCUCUUCAUUUGUUGUAGUAGUAUUUUUAAUUUUUAUUAAAUAUAAAACUAUUUGAACUUAAGAUUUAUAUUCGUGAUCAAGAACAACAUGGGUUUUGUUGGACGUAUGCUUUAUUUGAUUCGAUUAGUGCUUCAAAAGUACUAAAAGGCUUGGAAAUGGAAUUUACACAUUUGUGUACACAUUACUUGUGCGAACGUGUUUGUUCAGUUGAGUUAAGAAGAACUCUUGUACCUGAAGAUAAAGGGCAUCGUUGCUAUGAUCGUAAAAUUUUACUUGUAACAUUGUACGUUUAAACGCACAGAAUACCGAUAAAAAUACAUGACCACAAAGAAUUGUAACACAUAGAAGACUUAUUUCAUUACUACACAUUGGAGCAAACACUAGUCCAUUUGAGAACAUGUCUGGUUUCUGCAUCUAUGAUAACUUUCCAAGGUUGGGAUAAGCGUGAGAUUUACCGUGUUCCUUGAAGAAAUGGGCUAAAUGUGAAGGUCUGCAUGCGGUAGUUAUUGUUACGUUGAUUGUAUAAAAAUAGAUGGGGAAAUAGGUGAUAGGUACAUGUAUAUAUCUCUUGAAGUAUUUUUCAUCAAGACUGGUUUGACCCGAAAAGCUAAGAAAAACACAUUCUCUUAUAUUGAACCUAGUGUUGUGCCUACAGAUUUAAAGGACUAAGGUAACAUUUAAGAAUGUGACAGUUUAGAUUAACAAAUAAGGGGUUAAAUAUACUUAAACUUAAAAUUUGAAAAAAAAAAAGCAUUGAAAAUAGAAAAAAAUCUCUAAUAAAUGAAUAAUUAAGUAUUAGUAUUGUACGAAUAAAACUUUGAAAUAUUGACCAUUAAAAGAAGGAUUUGAGUAGUUAGACUAAGAUAAUUUCCAUCAAACAUGGUCUAUAAUUUACUAUAUUUAGUAUGGCCUCAGGCAUUUGCCCUUUUUCACCCAUUGUUUCUCCAAAAGACUAGUUGCAGAUGGCUGAUUAUGGUAUAACGUGUGGAAGUCGAAACUAACACAAUCGAGAUUUGUCUAGGGUUUUAUUUUAGGGAUACGAUAUGCAAGAAUUCUCAAGAACAACAGAAAGAAUUGUAACCAAAUAUGGUGUUCUUGAUAUUAUUGAUGAAAAGAAUAGCUUUGAUCGUACAAGGAGUUAGAUCGUAAAAAGAAAAGUGAUUUUGCUUCAGAGCUUUGUGUAGUCUAAGUCUAGAGCGUUAUUGCUUGUGUUCUGUGAGAGCUUUGAGUCUCUUUAUAUAGGGAUGGUAAACCGCCCCUCCAGCAAUAUUCUCGGAAGAUUUCCAUUUAUCUUAAAGUCGGCUUAGAAUAUCGCGGAUUAGGAUACUUUCCUUAUUCUUCGGAGUUUCCGGAAGUUUUCCUGAUUUGAGUUGAUCCUUCGAGAUUACCAUUUUCGAGUAUUUCGGAAAUAAUCCUUCUUUUUCGGAAAUGAUGCAAUCCUGCUCGGAAAUGAUACUAUAAAGGUGACUAUUUACCAAGUCCUUGCCUCGGGUGACUGAUGACUUCGCCUCGGGUUGCUUGGAGAUUGCCUGGUGUAUCCGGGUCGGGACAUGAUGACGAUGUGAUACAUUACCCGAGCCAAGGCAAUCUUGAGAUGACUGGCUCGGAUACCCCCGAGGUGACGGGCUCGGGUACCCCGAGGUGAUGGGUUUGGGUACCCCCGAGGUGAUGGGCUCGGGUACCCCGAGGUGAUGGGCUCGGGCACCCCGAGACAAUUGGGCUCGGGUACCCCGAGACGACUGGGCUCGGGUACCCCGAGGUGAUGGGCUCGGGUACCCCGAGGUGAUGGGCUCGGGUACCCCGAGGUGAUGGGCUCGGAUACCCCGAGGUGAUGGGCUCGGGUACCCAAGCCGAUUGGCAGGAUACCCGAGCAGAUUGGACGAGUACCCCGAGCUGGUUAAUUUGCAGGUCAACUCAAGGUGUUGAAGUCUGGCUCGGUACCAAAAGAUGGAUGAAAUCCGACCCCAACAUAACGUAAAAGAUUAAUGUUUUAAGACUAAUCAAUUUUAAUUUCUUGACAAUAUAUAUUUAGGUUAAAUUCCUUAUUUUACUGUAGUUUUAAAAUUUGAGGACUAUUAUUUGAUUAAUAAUAAUAGUUUAGAUACGUCCAUUUUGGACAACCAUAUUUUGAAAAUUAUGAUAACAAUAUUAGGAACAGGUAGUUUUUGUUUUUAACGUCUUCCAUAUAUUAAUAUAAAGAACAGUAAUAAAAGAAAGGUAAUAUUACUGAAUGGCCAAAUUAGACAAACAAAUUAAGUAAAUAGCAGAGAAAAAACUUUUUGUUGCAAACUAGCCAUGGUCCUACGUUGUCAGAAGAAGUGAAAUAACCAAACCAACUUUUGUUUGUUGCAAGUUCAACGCAAAACAAUUUCGUGAGAUUUUACAAAAUAGCAUGUAACAUUUAAAGUUCACAUGUUAUAUUGAACUGAAAAACAUGAUAUUUGAAAAAAUAUAGUGAUUUUUUAAGAAAAAACAUUGGCAUAGAAAAAUUUAACUUGAAUAGAAUCUUUUUUAAAAAAAAUUACAUGUGAUCUUAAAAAAUACGUGUAUUAUUACAAAAUAAUAAUCUUUUUUUAAAGAAAUCACAUGUGAUCUUUAAAAAAAACAUGUAUUACUACAAAAUAACAUGAUAAAGAGAGAUAUUAAACUAAAUAGAAUGUUUUUUUCAAGAAAUAUCAUGUGCUCUUUAUAAAUAACGUGCAAUACGAGAAAAUAACAUGAUAAAAUAGAUAUAUUAUGUUAUCACAUGUAAUUCGAGAAAAAAACGUGUUACAAAGGAUACUUACGUAAUUACACAUGCAUUCCGACAUGUUACAGACAAGUUACUGUAGCUCAUGGUUAGUUUGUAUAUUCUUUUUGAAUCCAUGGUUACUUUGUAUAUAUUCCCAUAAAAAAAAAGAAAAAAAAAAGAACAUGUAGUUAGUUUAGAAGCUAAAAAUACUAAAAUAAUAAUUCCAAGAUGUUGAAAAUAAUUUGGAUAUUAGGUUUGAUACGAGAAAUUCACGAUACAAUACUUACUAUUUGAUACAAAUUGAGAUGCUGUUAGGAAUUUUGUCCAUGGAUAGUAAAGUGUAUACUAAUGGUACUAUAUUUAAUUUUAUUUAUGAUUUACUUUUUCCUUCGAUUGUCUAAAUUUUGGAAAUACUAUGAGCUUCAACAAA